ACUCCGGAACUGCAAUCAAAACUUUUUAGCUAGAGUAUGAUAGAGGAAAGCAGAAUUUCUAGUGUAGAGGUGAAAUUCGUAGAUAUUAGAAAGAAUACCAAUUGCGAAGGCAGCUUUCUGGAUCAUUACUGACACUGAGGAACGAAAGCAUGGGUAGCGAAGAGGAUUAGAUACCCUCGUAGUCCAUGCCGUAAACGAUGUGUGUUAGACGUUGGAAAUUAAUUUUUAGUGUCGCAGCGAAAGCAAUAAACACACCGCCUGGGGAGUACGACCGCAAGGUUAAAACUCAAAUGAAUUGACGGGGACCCGCACAAGUAGUGGAGCAUGUGGUUUAAUUCGAAGAUACGCGCAGAACCUUACCAACACUUGACAUGUUCGUCGCGACUCUAAGAGAUUAGAGUUUUCGGUUCGGCCGGACGAAACACAGGUGCUGCAUGGCUGUCGUCAGCUCGUGUCGUGAGAUGUUGGGUUAAGUCCCGCAACGAGCGCAACCCUCACUUUUAGUUGCCAUCAUUUAGUUGGGCACUCUGAAAGAACUGCCAGUGAUAAGCUGGAGGAAGGUGGGGAUGACGUCAAGUCCUCAUGGCCCUUACGUGUUGGGCUACACACGUGCUACAAUGGCAUUUACAAUAGGAAGCAAGAUGGCGACGUCAAGCAAAUCCUAAAAAGAUGCCUCAGUUCGGAUUGUACUCUGCAACUCGAGUACAUGAAGCUGGAAUUACUAGUAAUCGCGGAUCAGCGCGCCGCGGUGAAUACGUUCCCGGGUCUUGU
Molecule: ribosomal RNA, 771 nt
Filed under: marine metagenome
Description: bacterial SSU rRNA
Rfam family: Bacterial small subunit ribosomal RNA
Source: RNAcentral